Non-coding RNA from Anas platyrhynchos (mallard), 12671 nucleotides. NCBI's taxonomy places the organism in Eukaryota, Metazoa, Chordata, Aves, Anseriformes, Anatidae. The record is from RefSeq and is a predicted model, not a curated record.
ACGCUUAGUAAAUGUAAGUUUCUUUUCUCCCUUCUCCCCCCAAAAUGCCCAGCGUUAAUUACAGGAGGGGGGCAGCGGCGGAUGCGCGGCAGCCAGGACAGAGCUGCCGGCACUUUCACUCCGCACAUUUCCCCUUUCCUCACGCUCUCUGCUCCUGUCCGUCAGGCCUGCUGACGACUGCUUGGUAGGAGGGCAGUAAUCUGAGCUGCCUGUGCUGAGCAAACCUCCUGCUUUUUACUGCGGGAUUAGCGCCGAGGUGGCUCUGCGCGCAGCACCUGUACCCGCGCCGCGUUAUCUCUAAAGCUCCGCUCCCCCAGGCGGCUGUGCCGUUCCCCCUGCCAGGGCUGCGCUCCCCAAAUGGCAGGCUGCCUCCUCCGCCGGGAUGGGAACACCUGAGCUUUGUCGGCUCUCCUGCAAGGUUUACAUGGGCACCCCCUCCCCUCAUGACUGCAGUGGGACUAAUCAGACAAUAAGGAUUACCCAUGAUCAGGGUUUUGCUGUGACACAGAAGGAAGAAAACAGGCUGUGUGAUGGGAACUUCAGUGCCCUCAGCAAACAUCUGAUUAUCUGUUGGAAGGAAAAAUAUGUUUUUCCAUCUGGUUAUGGGUUGUGAGGCUGCCGAACGCAAUUUGCUGAGCAGAGUUGUGUACAAGACAGUAGGGUCACAGUCUUGUUCAGCCUCUCAUCAGACAGGCACCUCAGCCUCCUGCGUUCAGGAAAGCACGUAAGCCUCUCUGUCACCCUGAGCCCAUGUGUGUGUCUUGUUAUUGUGGACUUCAGUCCGUGCUGCAAAUGAAGCACACGUACAGAGCACAGACACGUGCUUAACAGCCAGCACUGGCUUCAAGCACCCUCUUGAAUUAGGAUUCAGAAGUAGAAGCUGAUAGCUCUUUCCAUUUUCAGGCUGAUAGGGUGCAGGAGAAGGUUGGCAAGAAAGAUCGUGCUCCUGUUCUGCAUCACGGGUAGGAACGGGUCUGACCUGCAAAAGGAUCCUAAGUGCUGGCACAAGAGUGAACUACUUUGCCUGUGGGAUAACUGAGUGAAAAGUUGUGUUGGAAGUAGGGCAUCAUAUCAAAAAGCCAAGAAAUGCUGAUUUCUUUAGAAAUACAGAGACUGUCAACUAUGACAGGUUGCAUAAUUCGAGUUUCCCUCUAAGUUCUCUGGUUAUCAAGCCACCAAGUCAGUAUCUUUGGUGAAAUCCUCUGAGAUGAGCUGUUCCCGUAGACAUGAAAGGCUGGUGAUCAAGAUGAAAGGCAUUUCCGAGGGACUUGUGCCCCGCUGGAAGGCACUGGUAACCCAAGAUGUGUUUAUCGCAGCUGGCUCUCAGUCUGUACUGAGAAUGCUUUUGCUUUAGGAUUAAUAGUAAGGGGAUGGCUGGUAGUGUUUUAAUUACUGCAGCUUCAUUUCACAGCUGGCCACAGUUUCUGUACAUCUUGUGUCUUCUGCGUGCUCACAUAACUCGAACACUGUCAGUAUUUAUAACAAUCCAUGCUUUAUCCAUAAAACAAUAAAAAAGUCUCAGCUGGGUGAAAAAUACUGGUAGAGGUGCUCGCUGAGUAGGAUGCACUCUUAAAAGAGAUGUCACAGCAUGUGUGCUAGAUCAUGGACUCUUCCUUACCAUAAAAAGCAUUGAAUCAGAGCUUGCUCAUGUUUUCGGUACGCAGAAUAAUUCAGGUUAAGAAGCCAAGCACAACUUUUAUGUUGCAGUGAACUCUAGUUUACGUUGCCUUCAAAUAUUGUGCUGCCUUCCCAGCUGCUGGAGUGCUUCUGCUUCACUCGUGGUUAGCUGGCUUUCUUUAAUUCCUUGGAGUUGCACAAUGCAUUUCCUAGUCACAUUGUGUGUGCCAAGAACCACGCUUUAUUUUCAACAUCACGGUUACCUUUGCGACUGCGUCUUAGGAUUUCUCUUUAUAAUAGAAGUGAUGGCUUGGUGAACGUUGAAGAGCAGCAUGUGCUGAGAAAUGCCCAGUACUGGCACCACCGCUUACCUGAACUGAACCCGUGGCAGAGGCAAAUCCUGCUUCUUCUCCCAUGUUUUAUGGGAGCUGGCAAAUUGGAGCCAAGAACCAGAGCACAUUACAUUCCCCUUCCUGUGCAGUGAACUGUCUUGUUGGGCACUAUUAGCAAGGCCAUGGUUAGUGUCCCCAGUGAUCUUUAAUCCAGAUGCUUUCAGCAUUAGCAGCUUCAGAGAUGUGUACGAUGAAGAGAAGGGACCAUACCUGGGUAACUUGACAGAGCAACUGGCUACCUGGCAGGCAAGGGACCAAUGUAAUUAAAAACAUUCCUGUCUGCAGCACCAGGCUUCUGAAUGUGUCCUGGCUGGCUGUAAUUAGGGGUGUCGAGCAGAUGUAUUGUUUCUGGAGUGGGAUUAUUGGUACCUUGGUUAUGGGUACCUUCCUUGCUUCUGGUCCUCCUGUUUUAUGAUGGCCUGUGCUUUGUGAUGUCCCAAGGAGUUGACUAUCAGCAGUGAUCAGGAGAGCAGGAAGCUGUGUGGGCAGGUUGGAGAUCAAAGGAGCGCGCUGCCCUGCUGCUUGUAUGCUCUUUAAAGAAAGCAUUUUGGAUUUCAGCACAUCAUUACUUAGGCUCAGAGUGGACUGAUCUGUUACUAAUGCAGUGAGCAGAUACAGUGCCCUUGCAUGGGGAGAGGAAAAUAGCCAUGAAUUAGCAAAUACACAGUGUAGCAGGACAGCGGGAGGGCAGGGCAGAGCUCGCUUGGGGAAAUUAGCACACUUGUCCCACAGCAAGGUCCCCCGAGCAAGCACAGAGGAUUACUUUAAACUGCUGGAUUACUGCGAGCUCCGGCGCCGAGACUGCAAUGUGCUUGCACUUUCGUUUUGCUCAGCCCUGUUGCCCAGCCCAGCCCAGCCCUACAGGCCAAGCUUUCAGUAAAAAAGGGAUCCUUAUCUCCUUUCCUUUUCCAAAAUUCCUGAAAGCCUGAGCAGGGCUCCUUGAAGUCAAUGGGUUCUGCAGACCGCUUUGCAUUUUUGAAACUCAGGUCGUGAAUUUAGGCACCUGCCUUUCGAAGGUCUUUAUACAUUUUGCAGUGCUUCUACUUGCCUAUCUAUAGGACCUGUAUGUCCAACAAUUUGUACUUGCUUCAGAUUCUGGAACAGGGGGAAUGGCUGAAAACUCCCAUCUUACAGGAAAAUCUCAUUUGAUUAAAUGCAGAUGGGUACAUGAUGGCCCUAACUGAGCCAGUGACCUUCAGAAUUUAAUAAGGAAUGAAAUCAUUUUCGUAAACAUUUUAUGGUUUCCCUGGUGAGAAAAUUAAUGAUUUAAUUUGAUAGGAUGGUACCAAAUAUGCACAGAAAGAUUAUCAUGUGUGAUGCCAUAAGGUGACCUUUCCUCAUAAGGAUUCCCUUUCUUCCUUUCUCUGGAUUUCUCCUCUGUGGUUUCUCUUUUCCCAUACUAGUUUCAACAUCCUGCUCCUUGCCUUUUCAAUCUCUUUCUCUUCCCCUCUGGUGUAGAUGAGAAGCAGCAUCAGAAAAGGAGAACAGGGACCAGAGUUACAACAGCUUUCCCCCAGUUGUCAGCACCACACUAUCGCUCCGUGCAGGGAGGGAAGGGGCUUUCCCAGGACUGCUUCUCAUCACUGGAGGAGAAGAGGCAAUAUUGGAGGAAGGCAGUAUGGGAGCCAGGAACGACCAGGCUCUUACCCAACUCCAACUCCUUUAGUUCCCAACGUAAGGGCUGGGUUGGGAGCACUUGUAGGUGUGGUUGUGAAACUGGCAGUAAAAUCUGUUUCCAAUCUCUCUUUGUGAAUAUCAAGAGAUCACACAGGUUGGCUGAUCAAAACCAGAAAAGGUGUGAGAACUGCUGUCUUGCCCCGUUUGUUUUUAUUAUAAUUUCCUGAGGAGCCGCGACUCUGCCGUGAAACUGAAAUAGCAGCUUUUAAAAUUAGGUAUUAAUUAGAACAUUUCAGGCCGAGAAGGAAUUGUCAGUGCGGGGCUGGGACAAAUCAUCAUUCCUCUGUGCAAGUCUGCGAGGCUGCACUGAUCUGCUGGAGCACCUGCCAGCUCGGGAUCCCUAAGACACGGGGGCCUCCCGUUAGCUUCAUAACGGGUGGCGCUGCUUUUGUAAGGGGGAACAAACAAGUCAGCUGCUCACUCUUACAUGCCUCCUGCUUUUCCUUCCCUGUUUUAGUCACCUUGCUCUCUUUUACUCUCGUCUCACCAGCUCAGUGCCUGCAGCAACUGGCAAUUAGUGCAGUGUGAGCAUACAAGCUCUGGCUGUCUGACUCCUGGCCACUGGAGCUCUGUCAUUAGCGGCUGCCUGUUAAAAGGGUGAGCAAGGCUGGCUCCCUCUCCUUCCUGCCCCUGGCCUGCCUUCCCAUGCGCAGCCUCACCUUCCCCGUCACAACCUGCAGCGCUGAUGGUGAAGGCGCUUCGUUCACCCUCCUCGCUGACGGCAGCCUCACUGAUGCAGUCAAAUCUGCACGCAGCUUAAGAAGAUCCUGGCCUUCUGGACUGCGUCGCGACGGUGCGUACCCCAGCGCUGCGGGUGUAGUGAGCUUGGGUUUUGGUGAUUUUUACAGUUUAUUUGGAGUUUUGCGCCCCACGUGGGCACACCAGUUCUUUUGCAGAGCGCUCCCCGGCAGGCCUUGUGUUGUGGCUUCCUCAUCUUGCUCCCUUUGGUGCCCGUUGCGGGUAUUUCUCUUCUGCUACUUCUGUCUCUCUGCCUUGUUUUGUAAGGGACUGGACGCUCAGAGACGUGGUGAGCUGGGACAUUGAAUUUUGCAGUCGCCUCUCAUCCAGGUUUAUGUUAUUUUCUUCUUCUUUUAAGCAUGAAGCUGUAUAGGUGAGCACAGGCUUAAAUCUGUUGGGCUGAGGCAAGCCAGCAGUGCAUAGGAAAUGGCAUUUUUCUGUGAAGCAGUUCCAGUCUACCCCAGUCCACCAGCAGCAACGUGUGAAUGGUCCUGCCGAUGUGCCAGUUUGCUUUCUUCAUUUACCUUGUGCACGGUCCUGCAAAGGCUUCUCAGUCUCCAUAUUGUGGUGGUGUGCUUCUGCUGUCAAAUACCUCAUCACGGAUGGUGAGACAGCACCCCGGCACAUUGGGAGGUGAUUGCAGGUGAUCACUCAGACAAGUCCUGUGUUCACUCGUUUUGAGUGUUUGACCAGCAGCCACGUGAAGUGCGCAGUAUUUGCUGCCGUGCUGUUGGUGUGUUUGUUCAGGGGGCAUGUGGCUCAGUCGCUUGCUGAGGCACGAGAAGCAGCAGGGAGAUCUGGUUUUGAGACCCAGCACAGCCGGGUCUUCUUUACAGUCUUUCUUCUAGAAGAUGAUCUGCUUGGUCUUCCCAGAGAUGCAGAAGUAGCCACGGUGGUGCUACGUGUUUCCACCCAACAGCAGUCAGUACCCAAUGAUGCCAGGUGUGGAGCAGCCUUGCUUUAUAGCAAUGCCAUAGCUUAUAAUUCAGUCUUGACCUUAUAAAAUGACAGCUACUUUUCUUGGGGUCCAAGUAUUUGGGAAUUGACAGUACAACUGGCUGAGCUCUCAGAUGAACAUAAUAUCCAUGACAAUCCCAAGGAAAACAUCACGAAUUGCAGCUUAGACAUACAUAAAGCCAGGCAUUUUUAUUUAGAUGUCUAAGAUUUUCGGUGUUCUACUUGACUCCAGAUUGAGUCAUUCUCCCCCACUUAGAGAUUUGAGUGCUUCAUUUUUGUUAUUUACCUUAUGUGUUAAGUGCGAGUUCCUCUGCCUGGCCCGUUCCAACGCAAACAAGCCACAAUUUCUGUUAGCGAUGGAAGCUAACGAGCUUAAUUGCCUGACAGCACAGCGUGCCUGACAUCACGGCAUCGCAGCAUUGGCGCUGUGAUGCUGAGCUGCUCCUGGGGCAACCGUAGCAGAGGGCUUUGCCUCUGUCAGAAUACGGGGCUGAAUAACAGCCAUGGGAAAUGGCAGGGGAGGUUCUGAACCUGUCACUGCAAAAGGGCUGAGCAAAUCAGUCAGCACAAAGCGGCAAGACCUGUCAAUGCUCCUGAGAGAUUGAUGCUAAAAGAAACUGUUGCCUUCCACUGAACUGAGCCUCGGCCUUUUUUUACAGGGUGUUAGCCACAUCUUUGCUUUUCUUUGGCAAUUUGGAGCACCUGCAAGGUGCUCAGAGCUUGGGGCCAGCUCUUACAAAGGAUGCCUAGGAAGAAGAGAAGGAAAUUGUUUGCAGCCAGACUUUGCUGCACCACCUGGGACAGCACCCGUGUGAAGAAAGCAUCCAAACCAGGCUUCACAAAGUAAUGUUGACCUAACUAGGAGCAAGAACAAGCCUUUAUAAUACAUGUUGCAGGAGUAGAGUCUGGAGAUGUAGCUGAACAAACGUUUCUCUCCAUAAUUUCAGCAACAGUGAAAUCCAUGAUGUUCAGGUGUGUAAACCACAGGGAGAUUCAUACGUGGCACUGCAUUCAUAAGUGCCAGGGGAAGGCUUUUGAGACCUGUUAACUUGCAGAUACUGACAUGGUUCUUACAGGAGAAGCAAAACUGUAUUCAGUUGUAUAAGGGAAUGUAGAGACUUAAAAUUUAGGUCUGGAGGUUUUGAAAGUUAAAAAAAUAGAGGUUAAUUUAAGUGUGCCUUUACAUGUGUGAUAAGUGUAGUUCUCAUCUUAGGAAGUAAUUGGCGAGAUGUCUCAUAGAGGACUAAUAACAGGGUGGGGAAGACAGAGUCAUCGUUCUGUGGAAUACUCUGUGUCCUCGGAGCGUGUACAAACAGUAACUAGCAGCAGUGCAUGACACGGACAUUCCCAAAGGCUUGUUCCUGUUCAUUACAAACAGGCAACCCGCAGGAUUCCUAUUCAUGGGAGAGAGUUCAAAGAGCUCAGCCUAUUCUGAGACAGAGCAAGAAGACUUUCCUAAGGGAGCUCGUAGGAUAACAAAAAAAUAAUUUCAUGAGCAUCUUGGAAAUGUCUCAGACUGGGUUCAUUGCUGGAGAGCAGACCAGGGUAAUGCGAUUCUGUGCUUCUGCACAGCUGGUCGGUGACACAUCAGAUCUAUUUUAAGAACGUACUUGGCCUGCAGACCUGGUGAUGAUAAUGUGCUGAUCUGAUUCUACCUUUGCUAGCUUAGAGGUUUUCACUUCCAUGGUUAGUAGCUGCACUAUGUUCCCAGUGCUGAAUCAGUGCAGUUGAGGUUCCCUUUUCCGUUUGGUUGAUUUGCACUGUACUUGUUUGUGGAACUGUGUGUGAGAACGUGGGUUGUCCUUCAUAUCACACAGUCUCUCUAGAAGAUUUUGAGGGAUAGCAAGUACAUUUUGGCGCCCAGACCUGUUAAAUUCAGGCAAGUCUCUGGCACUUGCCUUUCCCUGUUUAAAUAGUGUUCUUCCUUUUAGGGAACAAAUUGCAGUAGCCUUGAGCCCCUGUCACAGAGGUAGGGUCCAUGUACACAGCAGGAACUGAGAUCACGGCUCCCACCUUCGGGCAGAGUUAGAUCUGGAUCUGAAGCUUCACACUCAUGCUAUCUUUUGAUGCCUUUUUCUUUGUUUUCUCAGGCACCGUUCAAAACUUGUGUCCCCAUUUUUGGGUGACUUCAUGGUGACUGUGUGCCUGGUGGUCAGGGUACUGGGAUCCUGCCAAAAGCUACAGAAGCAGUGGGGCACUCAUCAUCAUGAGUUUACGUCAGAGUUGUGCAAGCAGUACUUAGCUGCAGAUUACGAGAGUGCUCCUCACUCGGUGUUAAGCUAAAUGCCUUUUAGUGUGUUUGAUGGAAAGGGUGGGAGAGAGAACAGCAGCAAAAACACACAAAGUAGAGCAACUCUGAAGCAGAACAAGCCAAGAGGGCACGUUAAACCUGGAACAUGAGCUUGUAGGCAUGGCACGCUACCUACGUUAAAUAUGAAACUGAGCCCAAAGAGGUUAUGAUGCAAUUUAGAAGUGUAUCCUAAAAGAACCUGAGCUGUGGGAGUGCACUCACAGCUUUAUCGGAUAGGUUAAUGUUUCAGAAGUUUUUGUCCACAGGACGGAAGCCAUGGACUCACCACCAGGUUGUAAGAAGCAGCUUUCCCUAUGGCUGGCUUGCUCUGCAGCUACCCCAAAAAAGCAGCUGAAAUUUAAAACAGUCGGAGGCCAGGUACUGCAUUUAUGGGACUGUUUGUGGACACGUGCCUUUCCCUGGAGGUGUUAGAACAGCAAAUACAUGAAGAUGGGGCAUACUUUUCUUUUGUUCUGUGCUCUGGUGGGUCUGCCCCUCUCCACUGGUUUCCCUGAGCUUUUUGAGUAAUUCAGUAUAAAUUACCCCACAUUUAAACAGCAAGUUAGAUGUUAGAUGUGUCUCAUCGCAUUAGGCUACUGACUCGCACAUGGACACACAAGCAAAAACUCCAUUUGUUGGUUAAACCUUCAUAAAGCCGUUAUCGUGGAAGUGACCACUGACCUAGAAAUACGGCAGCUGCAUCUCUGGCAGUCACUGCAGUAGCCUCUUGGUGACCUAAUUUCUCCUAGCAGUGAGCGUCAUGCUGCACGAGCCUGAAUCCUCCUUAGUAAACGUACCAGCAAAUGCUUCUUGCUGCUGAGUUUUCAGAGAAGUCGCAAAUGAACUGGUGAAAUGGGAGGAACCGUGACGCUGGUAACUGCUUGGGAAAAUCUGCCUUUAUUUAAGCCUCGAAGACAAGAAUCAUUCAGUUGUGAGUGUGGAUUUUCUAAGUAUCUGAACGGCUGCUUCAGAUUCAAAGGACCAAGUCCUUGUUUUCAGAUCCCAAAUGUAUGAGUUUGUAUUGUAGGUUUAUUAAGAUGCAGAGGGACAAAUAAAAACUAGCCCAAUUUUCAGCCUUUGGGGCAAUGUCUCAAUGUUUCCUCUGACUUUGCUGCAGUUUGCAGAAGUGGUGGUGCAUGGAGCAGAGCAGAAACUGGUAUCCUGCCUGCUGUGCAAGCCCUACUUGUCUGUACACAGAUGCCUCUGAUUUCCAUUCUGCAUCUCUGUUAGCCUUGGCAAUAGCCUUCCUUUUUUACACAUAGCUAUUAACCUGACCUUAUCUCUGCAGUUAACGAUACGAUAUGUUACGUGUGUCCGUAUGAAGCCCCUGAUGAAGCUGUCCAGCCUAACCAGCACACCAGGGCAACAGUGACAUCCAUUGGCCUAUUAAGCUGAUCAGAAGUUCUGUCCAAACACCACCACGUAUUUACUCAAGGUGGAGGGCUGGGCUGGAGGCCUCCAGCACCACGGUUUCUCAUGUAAAUACCAGCUGCUUGCCUUCCCCUCUCCUUCUGUAGCAACCUGUUUGCGUUCUUGUUUCAGAUACUGACUCUUCACCCCUGUUAGGGUGAAAACAUGCUUUUUAGGAUGUAGCUUAGUAUCACCAAUUCCAAAAAUUACAAGCUGCUUGAUUUCAACUGCUGCAUCCUUUCUUGAAGACAAGAGAGUUUGGAAGCACUACUUCAGAGAGAAUUGGAAGGGAUUUGGACAUGCAGUAGAGGAACUGACAGCAGGAAGGUUCUUUAAAAGAAGUGAGCAAAUGAUUCAAAGUAUGAAAUAAUUAGAGGAUUCAGUGACAUGCACAAAAAAUACUCAUCUGGAGAAUGAAUCUGGAGGAUUCUGAUUUCAUUCCAAAAAAAAAAACCCGAAGAGUUCAAUUUAUUUUGAAUUGUAUAAGUAAAUCAGUGAACAUUUCCUGCGGGCCUUUCAUUGAACAGCCCCGGUGUCUGUUGUACAUUUUUGACCAGCUGUCGUUUCAGUCCCAUUCCAAGGUGAAACAACCCGUGUCUGAAAGGGAGUCCACCUGAGACACAGGGUUGAACCUACAAGUCUGUGAGCUCGCUGUCAUUGCCCCACAGCACGGUGCGGUUGUUGCAGUUUGUAUCUGCAACCAGGUGCCUCUCCCUUGUGAUUGGGGCAACUGGAACUUUACCCAGCAAGGUCAGCACAGGGAUUUUCCCUUCCAGCAUCACCAGAGAUAGAAGAAAAAUGAAGAUACGCUGGCGCAUGUAGUCUGACUUGGAGUCUAGUUCAUACCUCUUAGUUAGAAAGGAAAUGCUAAGUGCUGUGGUCCUUCGGAGCAGUCAUAACUGAGGGGAGCUGUAGGUACUGAACAUAAGGUCUUCCCUUCAUUUAGGCAGCUUUGUGUCAGUCAUUGUGUCCACAGCACCUGAGAUGAAGGAUCUUCUCUUCAUUUAUUUCCAGCAGGACAGCCUAGGAAACAUAUUUAAGUGAUGCUCAGUGUACUGAAGGACUUCAGGCUGCACUUUGUGGGUGUGUGGAUAGCAAGCAGGAGGGAAUCUAAUGAAGAAGCUUAGCUUCCUGACCCUCCAAACUGCAGCCUGCUGGAAAUGUGUUCAUCCAGCUUAUGUGACAUCAGAGUCUUUCCUUCACCAGCAUGUGUCUCACAUUGCCAAUUCCAUAGUCGCACAGCUUGCAAAUCUUCCUGCUGGAUAUUUGAGAUGCUGUCAUCUUACACAGCUCACUCCAGACAGCCUCUCCCCUUUUGAUAUCCUGUCUUCUCCCUGCCUGACUCUGGGGACUUCUCUGCUCUCCUUGCUUUCCUGCCUCUCGGUGGACAGAUGUCUGUAGAUAAUGCGCGUGCACUAUUGUUACAUUUCCAUGGGAUGGAAGGAAAGCAUCAUUUCUUUUUUCAACUCUUAUUCAUUCUGUAGCUGAUUUCUCUCUCUCACACCCUUGCUCUGCAGGUGAGCUGCAUACAGCAUUGGGGUUUGCAGGAGCUGAUCUUCCCCAGCCAUUACCAAAUGCUGGAAUUUCCCCAGGUUUUGACUUCUUUUUGCCUCUUGAGUUCUUUUUCUCAUUCCUACAGCGUGUGGUUUCAUGGGGAGUGGCUGUCCAUUGGCUCAAGUUUCUUUAACUAUACUUUGUAUACGUUUUCUGUGGUCAGGAACCAGGACCCAGCGCCAGAUAAAAUCCUGCUGUUUGUGGCUAACAAUGGAUAACAUUGUUGUCCUCCCAGACAUUUGCAUAAGAGAUAUGAAAACAGCCCCAUUCAUACCCGUCUGUGACGGGGCUGGGUGGCUGCAACUGCUUUGAAAUUUGAGGUGGGUUGUUGCUUGAUUGCAUAAGGUGGCCGGCACUGCCACAGCUUUCCUCAGGCCGCAGGUGCACCGGCCUUAUCUGUGCUGUGUCUGCCUGCCAGCAGCGGCAGGGCAGGGGCAGGAUUCCUCCUGCUGCUGCAAAGCUCCUGCAGUCCCAAGCAAACGCGUGUCUCAUCUACAGAUGUCAAAAGAUGGAUGAGAAAAUACUGUCAUCGUGCUCCAGAGUAGGCUUAGCCCCAUUUGCACCUGUAAAUUCAGGAUGAGUUAGGAAGAAAAACAUUUCAAAUGCCUUUUGGUAACCAACAAGCCAGAAGGUGGCUUUCUUUUUUUAUUUUUACUUUUUCCUACAGAGAGUAUUGAGAUUUUGUUGGAAAACAGGAUAGCUCAAAAGUGCAGUUGUGUUUAUGGCACCACGCACAGCAAAGAGCACCCCAGCCUGACCUGACACCUCCGAGACUCGCAUUUGUGCAGCCUUUCCGGUGAAGACAAGCAGGGUUAUCACUUCAAGUGGCUUGUGGCUUGGAAUGAAAGGAAGGCUUUCUUUCCCAGUGCUAAGAGGACCCAGGGUUAGUGCUCUCCUGUCACAUAGGGACGUUGUUCUGUGUGUUCAUAGCAUCCUGUGCUGACUGCUCCUGUCAGCCAGGAGCUGCCAAUGCUGCACACUCAGGUACCUCAUUUUGCUUCGCCACUCCACCAAACUGGCAAAACACAGCAGGUUUGGGGCAGCAGGUAGGUUUUAAUGUGGAAAAUUAUCUCCUGCAUGGGGUUCUGCUAGGAGAUACUUUACGACCGACACAGGUGUAUAAAGUGGCAUGGGGUGGCCCAUUUCUCUGCCCUGCCUGCGUACCCCCUCGGGUACCCGGGGUGCCUGGAUGGUUCGGUGCUGUGGGCUUUCACUGUAGCAAAGGGAAGGAGAUGGACAUUUUCUCUUUUGCUGGGCCUUCACAUAGUAGAGCUGCUUGCUUGUUUUCAGCAAACAAUGCAUUAUUACUGUCUUGGUGAAAGGAGGAAGGCAAAAUUAAAAGAGAGAGAGAACAUCUUAUGAACCUGCUGUUCUCAGAUCUCUCUGAUAAGGACAGUUCCAAGUGCGUGAGAAGUUUCCUAGUCUGAGAUUUAUUUACUUCUGAAAGAAAAGCCACCUUCAUCUCAUUAUUUUAUUUUCAAUACAGGUUUUAAUUUGGUGAGAAAAUAUCUUUCCCAUAAAGAACCUAUUCUGCCUCAUUAACUCCUAUAAAAAGCAUCCUCCCCAAGCUUGAAAUGUUAAAAGAAGCAUAAAUUAAGGCUAAGUUUGUUGUUUGCCGCUUUAAUCAACAAACAACCUUAAAAGGGACCCACAAAGGCUUCUGUAAACUAAAUUUAUUAGUGAGCAGGAAAACAGGCCUUCAGCUGCAGCAUCCUCCCCUUCCCAGCCCCAUGAAUUUGGAGGGGGGUGGCUUUUUGGAGGGACUGGUUUUGUUUACGGGGGUCUUACUCUCUUAGGCAGGUUGUUGCGGUCCCAUGGAUCUCUGUCAGACUUUUGUGUUGCAGCUGAACUGAAAUGACUUGGGACAGAGUCUGUUAAUUAGGUCUUCAAAAGCCGCCUCCAUUUGUUUCUUUGGUGUACAAAUGUCCUUUUUUCCUCUUUUUCCCUAAAUCUUCUUGUCAGUAGCUAAGCAGAAGAGAAGAGCUUUUUCACAGCAAGAGAAAACGGCCAUCCUGGCUGCCUUCCUCUCCGGGAAG